RNAcentral lists this long non-coding RNA (334 nucleotides) under Homo sapiens (human). Its description in RNAcentral is "non-protein coding lnc-BEND7-4:1". The record is from RNAcentral. Lineage: Eukaryota; Metazoa; Chordata; Mammalia; Primates; Hominidae.
UACUUCCCAUUAGUGGCAACCCUGCCUUGUGAUCAAAUUUGACGCCGACGGUGUUUCCUGAGCUGGGGAGUUUGCAGAUCUGAUCUGUCAGCGGGGACUGAGAGCAAAUCGGGACAUUCAUCAUGACUUUGGCUGCCAAGCUGGAAGACUUUGAGCUGACACUGGAGCACCUGCUCAUGGAUGUGUUUGUGAUCCUGAGAUCCAAAAGGCAAGGACACCUUUGUAACCUCCAUGGCACCUAGAAUAUUGUAUACAAGGACCUCAAUAGAUACAUAUCAAUCGCUUGAGUUUUAACUAGUAUAUUUUUACUGUUAUUGUAAAAUUUAACUUUUGC